This is a small nucleolar RNA of Quercus robur (English oak), 107 nucleotides long. RefSeq annotates it as small nucleolar RNA Z279/snoR105/snoR108. NCBI's taxonomy places the organism in Eukaryota, Viridiplantae, Streptophyta, Magnoliopsida, Fagales, Fagaceae. The transcript has a single exon. The record is from RefSeq and is a predicted model, not a curated record.
GGGAUGUGAUGAGUGGUUGGCUCUCGCAAUUAAAAAUGUGAGAAGGGUGUCCGCCCCAAAGCCUGGUUACGACAAACGGGCAUUCUCAUCUUAACCAAUCUGAUCCC